AUGAUUAAACACACAAAUGAACAGCCCACUGACUUACUGUCGUACUGUCCUACUGCCAUACUGCUUUACUACUGCCUUACUACUGCCCUAUUGUCCUACUGCCAUACAACCCUACAUCUUUACUACUGCCUUACUACUGCCCUAUUGUCCUACUGCCUUAAUGAUGUCCUACUGCUUUACUACUCUCCUACUCCCUUACCGCCCUACUUUCCUAUCCUGCUGCCCUAUUGUCACACAGCCUUACUGCCAGACAGCCUAUCCUACUACCUUACUGUCCUACAGCCUGUCCUACUGCCUUACUUUCCUACUGCUCUACAGCCUGCCUUACUGUCCUACAGCCUGCCUUACUGUCCUACUGCCCUACAGCCUGUCCUACUGCCUUACUUUCCUACUGCCCUACAGCCUGUCCUACUGCCUUACUUCCCUAUAGCCUGCCUUACUGUCCUACUGCCUUACUUUUCUACAGCCUG
This 470-nucleotide long non-coding RNA is filed under the name Oncorhynchus kisutch (coho salmon). RNAcentral's name for it is "lncRNA (ENSOKIG00005010294.1)". The record is from RNAcentral. Lineage: Eukaryota; Metazoa; Chordata; Actinopteri; Salmoniformes; Salmonidae.